UGCGUAGGCGGUUUGGUAAGUCAGAUGUGAAAUUCCUGGGCUCAACCGAGGAACUGCAUUUGAUACUGCCAGACUAGAGUACUGGAGAGGAGACUGGAAUUUACGGUGUAGCAGUGAAAUGCGUAGAUAUCGUAAGGAAGGCCAGUGGCGAAGGCGAGUCUCUGGACAGUAACUGACGCUGAGGCACGAAGGCUAGGGGAGCAAAC
RNAcentral lists this ribosomal RNA (206 nucleotides) under uncultured bacterium. Its description in RNAcentral is "partial 16S ribosomal RNA". It matches the Rfam family "Bacterial small subunit ribosomal RNA", at positions 568 to 773 of the family's 1533-position model. The record is from RNAcentral.